This 434-nucleotide ribosomal RNA is filed under the name uncultured bacterium. RNAcentral's name for it is "partial 16S ribosomal RNA". It matches the Rfam family "Bacterial small subunit ribosomal RNA", at positions 29 to 507 of the family's 1533-position model. The record is from RNAcentral.
AGCGAACGCUGGCGGCAGGCCUAACACAUGCAAGUCGAACGAACCUUUCGGGGUUAGUGGCGGACGGGUGAGUAACACGUGGGAACGUGCCUUUAGGUUCGGAAUAACUCAGGGAAACUUGUGCUAAUACCGAAUGUGCCCUUCGGGGGAAAGAUUUAUCGCCUUUAGAGGGGCCCGCGUCUGAUUAGCUAGUUGGUUGAGGUAAUGGCUCACCAAGGCGACGAUCAGUAGCUGGUCAGAGAGGAUGAUCAGCCACAUUGGGACUGAGACACGGCCCAAACUCCUACGGGAGGCAGCAGUGGGGAAUCUUGCGAAAUGGGCGAAAGCCUGACGCAGCCAUGCCGCGUGAAUGAUGAAGGUCUUAGGAUUGUAAAAUUCUUUCACCGGGGACGAUAAUGACGGUACCCGGAGAAGAAGCCCCGGCUAACUUCGUG